This 309-nucleotide ribosomal RNA is filed under the name Escherichia coli. RNAcentral's name for it is "partial 23S ribosomal RNA". It matches the Rfam family "Bacterial large subunit ribosomal RNA", at positions 1579 to 1869 of the family's 2925-position model. Lineage: Bacteria; Pseudomonadati; Pseudomonadota; Gammaproteobacteria; Enterobacterales; Enterobacteriaceae. The record is from RNAcentral.
ACGGUGCUGAAGCAACAAAUGCCCUGCUUCCAGGAAAAGCCUCUAAGCAUCAGGUAACAUCAAAUCGUACCCCAAACCGACACAGGUGGUCAGGUAGAGAAUACCAAGGCGCUUGAGAGAACUCGGGUGAAGGAACUAGGCAAAAUGGUGCCGUAACUUCGGGAGAAGGCACGCUGAUAUGUAGGUGAAGUCCCUCGCGGAUGGAGCUGAAAUCAGUCGAAGAUACCAGCUGGCUGCAACUGUUUAUUAAAAACACAGCACUGUGCAAACACGAAAGUGGACGUAUACGGUGUGACGCCUGCCCGGUGC